AUCCAAUUGACGAGUCACGAAUAGGACGAAACGCGUGUCAAACUGGAU
This is a non-coding RNA of Schistosoma rodhaini, 48 nucleotides long. NCBI's taxonomy places the organism in Eukaryota, Metazoa, Platyhelminthes, Trematoda, Strigeidida, Schistosomatidae. The record is from Rfam.